Non-coding RNA from Ixodes scapularis (black-legged tick), 73 nucleotides. NCBI's taxonomy places the organism in Eukaryota, Metazoa, Arthropoda, Arachnida, Ixodida, Ixodidae. The record is from Rfam.
UCCUGGUGAACUUAGUUGGUAAAGCGCUCCACUGGAAAUGGAGAGGUCCCUGGUUCGAUAGCAGGACCAGGCG